Phrynosoma platyrhinos (Desert horned lizard) is the source of this 68-nucleotide non-coding RNA. The record is from the annotation of a GenBank genome assembly. NCBI's taxonomy places the organism in Eukaryota, Metazoa, Chordata, Lepidosauria, Squamata, Phrynosomatidae.
UGCCUGGUGUAAUGGUAUGAGUGUUGGACUAGGACUCUAGAGACCAGGUUCGAUUCCCAGCUAGGCCA